CCCAGAGAAUGGGUCCUAAGUUAGCAAAUAGUAGAAUCCAGGAUACUUAUUUGAAGGUGUGGUCUGGACAGGUGUGGUAGGUGAAUCUAAGCAGCUUGGGAUUAGCUGAGGCUCCUCAGACCUCAUACCUGUUAGUGCUAAUCAUCAGAACAACAGAAAAGACACAGAGAGGCUCAGCGAGCCAGCCGUAUCUCUUCUCUGUGUUGCUUAGUGUAUGCUCUGCCAUGUGUCUCAUGAAUUCAUGGAGACACUUUUUAAAUCAUCAUUUUAGAGUGUAGAGCUGGACGGGAUGUGAGAGAUCAUCUAGUGUAGUGGUUCUCAAAAUGUGGUCCAGAGACUUCCGUGUCUAGGAAGAUGGAGUAGAUGCACUUAUCCCACUUUUCGCUAUUUCUUCUGUCUCUGGAAAGAAAGGCCCUGGACUGGAGACAGUGCUUCCUGGAAUUCAUCCACAGAGGUGUCCACAGGUCUGCCUUGGCUACAGGCUGACUUGCUUCACAGCUAAGGAUAGUUUCUUUCUUUCACCUUGGUUGAGGUUGGCACAGCAACCGACAGCUCUCAAUCAAGCAACCGUCUUGUGAUCCAUCAGCUAGGAGGUAAGACAGCAUAGUGAUAAUGAGUUCAAGAAUUGGCAUCAUUCAGACCCGCAUCCAAAUCCUCACUUACCAGUUACUAGCUGUGUGUUCUGGAGCACAGAGCUCUGAGCCUCAAUUUCUUCAUCUGUUAAAUGAGAAUAUCGAACUCAGUGUGGAGAUGUUAGAGGAUUAAUUGAGAAUGUAUAUCAAGGGCUAUCGCAAAGCCUGACACGUAAGUGCUCAAUGACUAGACAUUGUUUUUAAUGAAGAAAUAUUCCUAAAGGUAGCCUCAACUUUUCAUUCAUCAUGUGUCAAAAGGGUCCCUGUAUUUUCAGAAGAAUCCCGUCCACAAAUCACCAUCAACAAGAGUCAAGAUAUUGUCUGCUUCGGGAGUAUGCUUAGCAUCCUGCAUCCACCAUUUAUCAGGGGCUGAGUGCUUGCCCUAGCUCAGAGGAAGACCACACUCUCAGCAGUUCUCCAUCAGCAGCGUCACAAGGGAGUCAGCACCUUGUAGACCACUAUUUUAUGGAAUCCAAAGUGAGGCCACAUUCAAGAAAGAGCACCCUUCUUUAGAGUGUACUUCCUUCAGUAGGAGUGAAUUAGACACCCCAUUAGGUCCCAAUAUUCCAUUAGGAAUAUUUCUGCUCCUGGAAAGACUCCCUCACCUCUCCUUCCUCUCAACAUUCACAGCAUCACUAUCUGCCUUGGGACUAACAGCAAAAACCUUAUCACGCCCUUUAUCCCUGUUCAUCACAAGAAGUUCAGGACUUCAUCGCUCAUCUCCCCCUUCUUUAAUUCCAUCACCUUCUCUGGCCCAUCUCCUAUGCCUCACCAUCUCUUGAAACUUUCGCUUUGUCUCUGGAAACAUAAAGUCAAUCACUAUCAAAAUGCCCUUUACUCAGAUCUUCUUCUGUGGAUGUUCUCUUCACUUGCUCUGAUCUGCUCUUCUCUUCACAACUCCUCCGCAGUCCUCCACGUGGGGGUGUUUUCUGUCUUUUACAUCCAUCCUAACAAGGAGUCUGGAGGUCAGGAAGGUGUCCUACUUUGUUUUCACAUCCCUUUCCAUACCUACCUCUUUGUCCUGCAUAAAAACACUCUGCUUUGAACCUCAUGUAAUCAGACUCUAUCUCCCGUGAGCCCUCUUUGUGCAGUCAUGUGCUGCCUCCUAUCCCCUGUCUGCUCUCUCUCGUUUCUUGAUUAUUUUAGCUUCUCUUUAACUCUUCAGUGCUACUCCUGUUAUAAUUCCUUGUGAUUUAAUACACAUUGAUGAUCUUUCCAAUACCCUGGCUUCCCAGACUGAUCCUAUUAAAAUAUAAGUCAGAUUGUGUCACUCCUUGUUCAGAAUCCUCCAAUGACUUCCCACUUAGUUCAAGGAGCCUGAUCACACAGGGCCUUGCAAAUCACAGCGAAGGCUCUGAUUUUUGUUGUUAUUGUUCCUUCCAACUGGCCACACUAACCUCCUUGCUAUUCUUUGUGCACGCCAUGAACACUCCCUGCCUUAGGGCUUUUGCACUUGCUGUUCCCUUUGCCUGGAGAGAAAUCUGUAUGGUUAAAUCCCUCAAUUUAUUCAGAUCUUGAAUAAAAAGCCAUCUUAUUGAGCUUUUCUCUGACCAUCCUUUCUAAAAUGUCAACACCCCAUUGAGAUUUCAUAUCUGAGUCAGUCCUUAUUUUUCCUUUUUGGCAUUUAUCAUUAUGUAAUAUGAUAUUUUUAUUUAUUCUCUU
Long non-coding RNA from Equus caballus (horse), 2294 nucleotides. NCBI's taxonomy places the organism in Eukaryota, Metazoa, Chordata, Mammalia, Perissodactyla, Equidae. The record is from Ensembl.